Molecule: ribosomal RNA, 506 nt
Filed under: uncultured bacterium
Lineage: Bacteria
Description: partial 16S ribosomal RNA
Rfam family: Bacterial small subunit ribosomal RNA
Source: RNAcentral
GAUGAACGCUAGCUACAGGCUUAACACAUGCAAGUCGCGGGGCAGCAUGUCGGUUGCUUGCAACCGAUGAUGGCGACCGGCGCACGGGUGAGUAACGCGUAUCCAACCUGCCCUUCACCACGGAAUAAUCCAGUGAAAAUUGGUCUAAUUCCGUAUGAGGUCAUACGAUGGCAUCAGAAUAUGACGAAAGGUUUGGCGGUGAAGGAUGGGGAUGCGUCUGAUUAGCUUGUUGGUGAGGUAACGGCUCACCAAGGCGACGAUCAGUAGGGGUUCUGAGAGGAAGGCCCCCCACAUUGGAACUGAGACACGGUCCAAACUCCUACGGGAGGCAGCAGUGAGGAAUAUUGGUCAAUGGGCGAGAGCCUGAACCAGCCAAGUAGCGUGCAGGAAGACGGCCCUAUGGGUUGUAAACUGCUUUUAUAUGGGGAUAAAGUGAGCUACGUGUAGUUUAUUGCAGGUACCAUAUGAAUAAGGACCGGCUAAUUCCGUGCCAGCAGCCGCCGUAA